This 653-nucleotide ribosomal RNA is filed under the name uncultured bacterium. RNAcentral's name for it is "bacterial SSU rRNA". It matches the Rfam family "Bacterial small subunit ribosomal RNA", at positions 202 to 842 of the family's 1533-position model. The record is from RNAcentral.
GAAAGAUGGUUCUGCUAUCACUCUUGGAUGGACCUGCGGUGCAUUAGCUAGUUGGUAAGGUAACGGCUUACCAAGGCAAUGAUGCAUAGCCGAGUUGAGAGACUGAUCGGCCACAUUGGGACUGAGACACGGCCCAAACUCCUACGGGAGGCAGCAGUAGGGAAUCUUCCACAAUGGACGAAAGUCUGAUGGAGCAACGCCGCGUGAGUGAAGAAGGGUUUCGGCUCGUAAAGCUCUGUUGGUAGUGAAGAAAGAUAGAGGUAGUAACUGGCCUUUAUUUGACGGUAAUUACUUAGAAAGUCACGGCUAACUACGUGCCAGCAGCCGCGGUAAUACGUAGGUGGCAAGCGUUGUCCGGAUUUAUUGGGCGUAAAGCGAGUGCAGGCGGUUCAAUAAGUCUGAUGUGAAAGCCUUCGGCUCAACCGGAGAAUUGCAUCAGAAACUGUUGAACUUGAGUGCAGAAGAGGAGAGUGGGACUCCAUGUGUAGCGGUGGAAUGCGUAGAUAUAUGGAAGAACACCAGUGGCGAAGGCGGCUCUCUGGUCUGCAACUGACGCUGAGGCUCGAAAGCAUGGGUAGCGAACAGGAUUAGAUACCCUGGUAGUCCAUGCCGUAAACGAUGAGUGCUAAGUGUUGGGAGGUUUCCGCCUCUCA